RNAcentral lists this transfer RNA (77 nucleotides) under Bacteroidota bacterium. RNAcentral describes it as "Bacteroidetes bacterium (marine metagenome) tRNA-His". It matches the Rfam family "tRNA". From Rfam's summary of the family: Transfer RNA (tRNA) molecules are approximately 80 nucleotides in length. Their secondary structure includes four short double-helical elements and three loops (D, anti-codon, and T loops). Lineage: Bacteria; Pseudomonadati; Bacteroidota. The record is from RNAcentral.
GUGGGUGUAGCUCAGUUGGUUAGAGUACUAGAUUGUGGUUCUAGGUGUCGCCGGUUCAACUCCGGUCAUCCACCCCA